GACGAACGCUGGCGGCGUGCUUAACACAUGCAAGUCGAACGGAAAGGCCCUGCUUUUGUGGGGUGCUCGAGUGGCGAACGGGUGAGUAACACGUGAGUAACCUGCCCUUGACUUUGGGAUAACUUCAGGAAACUGGGGCUAAUACCGGAUAGGAGCUCCUGCUGCAUGGUGGGGGUUGGAAAGUUUCGGCGGUUGGGGAUGGACUCGCGGCUUAUCAGCUUGUUGGUGGGGUAGUGGCUUACCAAGGCUUUGACGGGUAGCCGGCCUGAGAGGGUGACCGGCAACAUUGGGAAGGAGAUACGGCCCAGACUCAUAAGGGAGGCAGAAGGGGGGAAUAUUGAACAAGGGGCGGAAGCCGGAUGCAGCAACGCCGCGGGCGGGAUGAGGGCCUUCGGGUUGGAAACCGCUGUCGCCGGUGAAGAAGCGGGAGUGACGGUAAUGGGUAAAGAAGCACCGGCUAACUACGUG
This 468-nucleotide ribosomal RNA is filed under the name uncultured bacterium. Its description in RNAcentral is "partial 16S ribosomal RNA". It matches the Rfam family "Bacterial small subunit ribosomal RNA", at positions 28 to 507 of the family's 1533-position model. The record is from RNAcentral.